Molecule: long non-coding RNA, 404 nt
Filed under: Gallus gallus (chicken)
Lineage: Eukaryota; Metazoa; Chordata; Aves; Galliformes; Phasianidae
Description: long non-coding RNA NONGGAT003579
Source: RNAcentral
UGAAACCACGCCCCCAGCGACACAGCGCGGUAAGCAGCAGCCCGACAGCGGGGAGUCCCGGGAUCGCGGCUGUCCGGUACUCGUGGGAGCCUGCAGCAGCGUACCUGGGGAGAAGAGAAGGGGGCCGAAGCACCAGGUUAUUUUCAUGAACACAAAAAACAACAUUGCUACAACUAAAGGAAAAUCCUAGAGAGAGAACCAGCUGCCUGCAGUGCACUCUCAGCGCGCAACAAAACAAGAGCCUGCAGGGCUUGGGUGAAAGGUAGCGAUACAUCCAUACAGCAAACAGCCAGACCCUGAGCCACUAUUUCUGCAUCUUGGGAGCCCUAACCACUGGGUGAGGAUCGCAACUACAACACAGAACAGCAGUCCAGAGACCCACAUAGCAAAAAAUUAUGAUGCCA